This 253-nucleotide ribosomal RNA is filed under the name uncultured bacterium. RNAcentral's name for it is "partial 16S ribosomal RNA". It matches the Rfam family "Bacterial small subunit ribosomal RNA", at positions 524 to 776 of the family's 1533-position model. The record is from RNAcentral.
UACGUAGGGUGCAGGCGUUAAUCGGAAUUACUGGGCGUAAAGCGCGUGUAGGCGGCUUGUUAAGUUGGUCGUGAAAGCCCAUGGCUCAACCAUGGAAGUGCAACCAAAACUGGCAAGCUUGAGUUCUGAAGAGGAUGGCGGAAUUCCCAGUGUAGAGGUGAAAUUCGUAGAUAUUGGGAGGAACAUCGGUGGCGAAGGCGGCCAUCUGGGAAGCGACUGACGCUGAGACGCGAAAGCGUGGGUAGCAAACAGG